GACAGAGGGUGCAAACGUUGCUCGGAAUCAUUGGGCGUAAAGCGCGUGUAGGUGGCUCUCCACGUCGGAUGUGAAAACCCGGGGCUCAACCCCGGCAGUGCAUCCGAAACGAGGGAGCUAGAGUGCUGGAGAGGCGGGUGGAAUUCCCGGUGUAGAGGUGAAAUUCGUAGAUAUCGGGAGGAACACCAGUGGCGAAGGCGACCACCUGGACGGAUACUGACGCUGAGACGCGAAAGCGUGGGGAGCAAACAGG
RNAcentral lists this ribosomal RNA (253 nucleotides) under uncultured bacterium. RNAcentral's name for it is "partial 16S ribosomal RNA". It matches the Rfam family "Bacterial small subunit ribosomal RNA", at positions 524 to 776 of the family's 1533-position model. The record is from RNAcentral.